This is a non-coding RNA of Cherax quadricarinatus, 200 nucleotides long. The record is from RefSeq and is a predicted model, not a curated record. NCBI's taxonomy places the organism in Eukaryota, Metazoa, Arthropoda, Malacostraca, Decapoda, Parastacidae.
CAUUGGUUACAUUAUUAAACAUAACAGGCAACAUCAAGAAAUUCUUACUGUCUCCAAUGACCAGUCAGGUGUUCCUGCUACAUGAUGGUCAUAAAGAUCUCCAGCUACUAAGUAUGAGGCUCUCAGUUAACACACUACAGAAUGUUUUCAGUGAAGAGAGGAGUUCAGAUUGUAAAUGCAUGACAACUCCCAGACUGGGC